Long non-coding RNA from Struthio camelus australis, 906 nucleotides. The record is from Ensembl. Lineage: Eukaryota; Metazoa; Chordata; Aves; Struthioniformes; Struthionidae.
GUGGAUUUAAUUUCUACAUGGCCCUUCUGCCCGCUUGUGGGGAGCACUCUGCAACCCCAGUGGACCUGUUCUCACACCAAACUGGUGUGUAGAGGGACUGCAGCAGGAUUUACAUAAGGCCUCAAAAGCAAAGAACUAAAGCUUUGUCCAGUGCUAGCAGAAGCCAAAGGGGCUGUCAGUUUGAGAGGCAGUGGUAGGAAGUUCCAUAGAACCAGUCCCCUGUUUGUUCAAGUCCACCAUGGUUCUGGGUCACAGAGUGGAAAGAAAAUGGGUUCCCUGUUUUAUGGUGCAAGUAAAGCCCUCAGAGUUUACCCGUACUUGCACCUCAUGGGGUUUAGGGCUGUAUGAGUACAGUGAAGUGAUUCUACAGCCAAAAAUUGAAUGCAGGGGGCUGGACUGAACCCCACCUACAAGAGAGGUGCCUGACUCUGAUCCAGACUUAGCGUUGGCUUGCUUUGCUCAUUUGGACCAAGCACCGUGUCUAGGAAGAAAGGCAGAGAGAUUCUCUCCAGUUCUUGCCCUCGCUGCUGCAGAUGAUGACUGGCAGUGCUUGCAGCAGCAUCUCUCUUCAAGCCCCGAAGAGUGAGUCUCAGCCAGGCUCCAGGCUCGUGCUCGUGGCUGCCAUCAGACAGCCCAUCUGGAAAGAGGCUGCACAUCCAGUGCAAGUCUGGGAUAGCAACCCUUUCCUGCUAACUUUAACAAGGUUGAAACUGCAUAGCCAGAGGAGUACGGUCCCUUCGGGUAUUCAGCUUUCAGAAAGACCAAGGUAAGAGAUUUUCCAGAUUUUUUUUUUCUUUUUUCCAUUUUGAAUUCUUGAUAAAAUGCUGUCUGUUCCAGUCUUUGCUCAGAGCUCAUUUCAAGUCAAUAUAAAGAUUCUUGUUGAUUUUAAUGAGCAGUGCCUUGAAC